AGCAGCCGCGGUAAUUCCAGCUCCAAUAGCGUAUAUUAAAGUUGCUGCAGUUAAAAAGCUCGUAGUUGAAUUUCGGGAUCGAUAUAUCGGUCGUGCCUCGGUACGUACUGGUAUUUUCGGUUUCUCCCUUCUGACGAACCUUGAUGUCAUUAAUUUGGUGUCUUGGGGAAUCAGGACUGUUACUUUGAAAAAAUUAGAGUGUUUAAAGCAGGCUCACGCUUGAAUACAUUAGCAUGGAAUAAUGAAAUAGGACGUUUGAUUCUAUUUUGUUGGUUUCUAGGAUCGACGUAAUGAUUAAUAGGGAUAGGUUGGGGGCAUUAGUAUUCAAUUGUCAGAGGUGAAAUUCUUGGAUUUUAUUGAAGACUAACUACUGCGAAAGCUAUUUGCCAAGGAUGUUUUCAUUAAUCAAGAACGAAAGUUAGGGGAUCGAAGACGAUCAGAUACCGUCGUAGUCUUAACCAUAAACUAUGCCGACUAGGGAUCGGAUGAUGUUUAAUUUUUAAUGACUCAUUCGGCGCCU
RNAcentral lists this ribosomal RNA (520 nucleotides) under uncultured Glomus. RNAcentral describes it as "SSU rRNA". It matches the Rfam family "Eukaryotic small subunit ribosomal RNA", at positions 569 to 1088 of the family's 1831-position model. The record is from RNAcentral. Lineage: Eukaryota; Fungi; Glomeromycota; Glomeromycetes; Glomerales; Glomeraceae.